This 395-nucleotide ribosomal RNA is filed under the name uncultured bacterium. Its description in RNAcentral is "bacterial SSU rRNA". It matches the Rfam family "Bacterial small subunit ribosomal RNA", at positions 28 to 424 of the family's 1533-position model. The record is from RNAcentral.
GACGAACGCUGGCGGCGUGCUUAACACAUGCAAGUCGAACGAUGAAGCCCAGCUUGCUGGGUGGAAGAGUGGCGAACGGGUGAGUAACACGUGAGUAACCUGCCCAUCACUCUGGGAUAAGCGCUGGAAACGGCGUCUAAUACUGGAUAUGAACAGCGGCCGCAUGGUCAGUUGUUGGAAAGAUUUAUUGGUGAUGGAUGGACUCGCGGCCUAUCAGCUAGUUGGUGAGGUAAUGGCUCACCAAGGCGACGACGGGUAGCCGGCCUGAGAGGGUGACCGGCCACACUGGGACUGAGACACGGCCCAGACUCCUACGGGAGGCAGCAGUGGGGAAUAUUGCACAAUGGGCGCAAGCCUGAUGCAGCAACGCCGCGUGAGGGAUGACGGCCUCGGUU